GAUGAACGCUGGCGGCGUGCCUAAUACAUGCAAGUCGAGCGAACGGACGAGAAGCUUUCCUCUCUGAUGUUAGCGGCGGACGGGUGAGUAAAACGUGGAUAACCUACCUAUAAGACUGGGAUAACUUCGGGAAACCGGUGCUAAUACCGGCUAAUAUUUUGAACCGCAUGGUGCAAGAGUGAAAGACGGUCUUGCUGUCACUUAUAGAUGGAUCGGCGCUGCAUUAGCUAGGUGGUAAGGUAACGGCUUACCAAGGCAACGAUGCAUAGCCGGCCUGAGAGGGUGACCGGCCACACUGGAACUGAGACACGGUCCAGACUCCUACGGGAGGCAGCAGUGGGGAAUCUUGCGCAAUGGGCGAAAGCCUGACGCAGCAACGCCGCGUGAGUGAUGAAGGUCUUCGGAUCGUAAAACUCUGUUAUUAGGGAAGAACAUAUGUGUAAGUAACUGUGCACAUAUUGACGGUACCUAAUCAGAAAGCCACGGCUAACUACGUG
RNAcentral lists this ribosomal RNA (497 nucleotides) under uncultured bacterium. Its description in RNAcentral is "partial 16S ribosomal RNA". It matches the Rfam family "Bacterial small subunit ribosomal RNA", at positions 28 to 507 of the family's 1533-position model. The record is from RNAcentral.